GGUAGUGUAGUUAACACCUGCAUUAUUUGACGUUACCUACAGAAGAAGCAACCGGCUAACUCCGUGCCAGCAGCCGCGGUAAUACGGAGGGUGCGAGCGUUAAUCGGAAUUACUGGGCGUAAAGCGCAUGCAGGCGGCCUGUUAAGUCAGAUGUGAAAGCCCGGGGCGUUAACCUCGGAAUUGCAUUUGAAACUGGCAGGCUAGAGUCUUGUAGAGGGGGGUAGGAAGUUUCAGGUGUAGCGGUGAAAUGCGUAGAGAUCUGAAGGAAUACCAGUGGCGAAGGCGGCCCCCUCGGACAAAGACUGACGCUCAGAUGCGAAAGCGUGGGGAGCAAACAGGAUUAGAUACCCUGGUAG
This 356-nucleotide ribosomal RNA is filed under the name uncultured bacterium. RNAcentral's name for it is "bacterial SSU rRNA". It matches the Rfam family "Bacterial small subunit ribosomal RNA", at positions 443 to 793 of the family's 1533-position model. The record is from RNAcentral.